RNAcentral lists this ribosomal RNA (497 nucleotides) under uncultured bacterium. RNAcentral's name for it is "partial 16S ribosomal RNA". It matches the Rfam family "Bacterial small subunit ribosomal RNA", at positions 28 to 507 of the family's 1533-position model. The record is from RNAcentral.
GACGAACGCUGGCGGCGUGCCUAAUACAUGCAAGUUGAGCGCUGAAGGUUGGUACUUGUACCGACUGGAUGAGCAGCGAACGGGUGAGUAACGCGUGGGGAAUCUGCCUUUGAGCGGGGGAACACAUUUGGAAACGAACGCUAAUACCGCAUAAAAACUUUAAACACAAGUUUUAAGUUAGAAAGAUGCAAUUGAAUCAUUCAAAGGUGAUCCCGCGGUGUAUUAGUUAGUUGGUGGGGUAAAGGAUCACCAAGGCGAGGAUAGGUAGCCGACCUGAGAGGAUGAUAAGCCGGCCUGAGACUGAGACACGGCACAAACGCCUACGGGUGGCAGCAGUAGUGAAACGUCGGCAAUCAACGAGAAACUGACCAAGAAAGGCCGCGUGAGUGAGGAAGAUUGUCGGAUCGGAAAACACGGUUGUUAGAGAAUAACGUUGGUGAGCGUGGAAAGCUCAUCAAGUGACGGUAACUACUCAGAAAGCGACGGCUAACUACGUG